GGUCAAGACUAAUUUUCUCUUUGGAUUUGGUCCUCCCAAGUCACUGAUUUAGAAACAGACUAUAACAUAGUCUUGUCCUAAAUGUAUUGGAUAAGGAUCGCCUAAGGUAAUGUUGACCGUUCAUUCUAGAAUCAAGGUCAACAUUAUCUAAUCUCUGCAUUAGUGUCCUUUGAGAUAGUUGUUUGAGAUAAAGUUUGAAGGGACCCAAAACCCUAAUUCGCCACUAUAUAAAGGUUAACUUGUGCUCUCUACCUAUGUCCAAACAAUUCUAUUCUAACAACCACACACAUUCAUUGCAGUUUUACUCGAUCGUUAGAGUGUAUGCCCCCCCCCCCACACACACACACACACACACACACACAUCCAUAAAGGAAAGAUUUGUUUUCAAGUCUGUCAAUCUGAACACAUCCACAGUCAUUGGUGAUGAAAUUGGCAAGUGCAACAAAUCAUACGCAAGUAAUAAAGUAGUAAGUUAUGUCUCCACUGAGAUUGUCGUUAAAAUCAGUAAUUAGUGGAAUUUAUUAGAAAUAAAAUAAUUUAAUAAGAGAUGAAGUUCGUUUGCAGGGUUUUACAUGUCCUUCUCAAUGCGAGAUUAGGUUUUGUGAUUCAUAAUUAUAAUGACGAUUAGGGAAUCCUUGAAUCCCCCCUUCCAUCUUUCUUGGAAUUAAUUUGGUUGAUUGUUAGUUUAUGACCUGUCUUUCGAAUUAAGAACGGAGGACAUGGCCUUGUGAUGUAUCAAUAGAAUUUUUAGUUUCAUAUCGCCGCAAUUCAACCAGUUACAAUUGUGAUGUUCCCUUAAGAUGAGUCAUAGCCCUAAAUUCAUACUUAGAUUCAAUGAAAAGAAUUUUAUUUUGAAAAUAAGCAAUUUACUACUGUCUGGUUUGGACAAAUUUAGGGUUGUCUAUCCUAAUAUUCUCCAUCUAAGAUAUGGUAUAGAAACGGACAUAUACAAAUUAAAUCAGACACUUGAAUCAUAAACUGAAUAAAAAAAUUAUUAAUUGAAUCCCAAAAAUAAGAAGAGGUUCAUCAUGGAACCUUGAUCAAAGAGGUUUAGUUGCACAUGGCAACUGACAUCAUUACCAAACAAUAGAAAAAAAAAUUCCCUAGAGAGAACAAGAGGAAGAUGGAGAUCCUUUGCCUUGAAGCUCUUAUGCUUGACCCUUGCAUUGUGCCGCUAGCUUUCUGAAUGAAUAAAUGAAUGUACAAGGGUCUCUAUUUAUAGUUCAUCAUUACUUAGGGGUUCGGAGAAGAAAACUAGGCUUUUUCCACCGAUUCAUCUUGAAAAAUAAGCAAACAAUAGUUCUUCCCACAAGCCACGUGUGGGGUGCAUGAUACAACAUUCAGGGGUGUAUUAGGUAUAUUCUGUCUUGAAAUGCCUUGGAACUUAAAAUGAAUAUUCUUUAACUUAUAUUGUCUUCAAAGACCUUCGAUGAACCAUUGAUCUUCAAUCUUCAUAUCCUUGAUACUUCAUGUGAUGUCUUGUUUCGACGAUUUACAAGAUUUCUCACUAACAAGACCCAAAACUCAUAUGAAGUUGUAUGAUUUAGGAUAAAACUGAAUUACAACGACUCAAAUGAAAAUAAUACAAAAUGUUCCUCAAACCAUUGACAACUCCUCUAAAUGACCUCUUAUUUUCCUUCAAAUGCAAAUAAAAUAAAUAAAAAUAUAGUCAAAAAUAUCAUAUGAUAUCCCAUCAUCAGUCAUGCUCAGGUCGUACCUCUCUAGUCCCAUUGGACUAUUUGGCAUCGUCUGUGGGAAACUUUCCUAUGUUUCAUCACCAAAUAUUUCAUGAUAUCUAAUGGUCAACACUCGAUUUCUAGUAAUAAUCAGCUCUUUUGUUGGCAACACCUAGCCCCAUUAGAUUGACAAAAGAACAAUUUUGUCAUCACCUCCAAACUAAAAUUGAAACUAACCCCGUGAUGGAUCCAUGACGAUUCUACCUUCACAUUUGAUCCCAGACAUAGUGUCCUAUAACCUAGAUAACCAAUAGACUCCUCCCUUUAAAGGAGGCUACCAAACUAACAAUCUCAUCUGAUACAUUCUAGAUGCAAUUCAACAAUCAUCAAAGAUAAUUGUAGCCCAAGGUAAGUGACAGGUCUGCGCUAAGAACAGGAAGAUGCAUAUCCCCCACUAAUAAGGUUAAUUAGAAAUCGCACGCACACCAAAAACACACUAGAACAUGGACCGUUGGCGAAAAGACACGACAUUUUUUGUCCCCGAAAGAUUUAAAGUCUAAGACCCCCAUCAUCGUCCACCGUCCUAGUCCCCUCAACGCCAUAAUGUUAAAUACUAUAUGAAACCUCCAACCCUCCCUCCCCUCGCUCCUAUGGGGCAUGGAGUUUGUUGUAAUGAUGAAAAUUCUCCAUUGAGACGUUCCUAUUGCAGGUCAUUAUCUUAUGAGAUUUCCUCGUAUGAAGAUGAUCUCCCUUAGAAGAAUUUAUUUCACCGCGAUAAUCAAUGAUUACCUGGUGCCUAGAUAUCUUCAGAAGUUCUUCCCACUGUAAUUAUACAAUGGAAUAACAGGCCCAUACAACAAUUUUGAAACGGUUAACAUGUUGUCAUUUUGCAAUGCCUAGGGUCCAUUGAAGUGCAAGUUUUUCUUAUUGACAAUAAGAGAGUGUACAAUGGCUUGGUUCAAAGGCUUAAGACCAUUAUCUAGUAAUUUUUGGUUGAAAUUUGUACACGUUUCACGACCCGCCUCACCACCUCCUAAAGGCAACCCAAGUCAGCGGAAAACCUUACAACAAUAUGUUAGAAGAAAUAUGAAACCUUGAGAGCAUACAUUGAGAGAUUAAACAAAAAAAAAGUACAAGUGAGUAAUGUUGAUGAAAUGAUGAAGACCUAUCUUUUGAGACAAACAUUCUUGAUGGGAAACAACUGCCCAAAGAUUAUUGCCCUCAAUAAGAAAGAAGUCGUGACGAGCGGCAAAGCCCAAGUCUUGAUUAUCAACUGCUUGUGUAUGUAUAAUUGUUUGGCGGGACGCCCACAUUAGUCAGACUUUGUGUCGUCUCAUCAGCCGUGCAUCUCAUUUGACUUCGAAAUAAUUGUAUCAUGAUAUUUAAGAUAAGACAUACUUUUGAAAAAGAGUUUAGUCUUGAAGAGUGAGAGACUAAGAACUUAUAUUGUUUUUCAAUCCACUUUCCUCCAUUUUCAUUAUCCUCGGAUCAAUUUUUUUAAAACAAGCAUCGUACAAUUAGAGUUAUGCACUAAGAAGUUUAUAGUUUAAAUUCUAAUUAUUUAGAAAAUUAAAUACUCUC
RNAcentral lists this long non-coding RNA (3257 nucleotides) under Medicago truncatula (barrel medic). RNAcentral's name for it is "long non-coding RNA (MTRU_LNC000647)". Lineage: Eukaryota; Viridiplantae; Streptophyta; Magnoliopsida; Fabales; Fabaceae. The record is from RNAcentral.